Molecule: ribosomal RNA, 253 nt
Filed under: uncultured bacterium
Lineage: Bacteria
Description: partial 16S ribosomal RNA
Rfam family: Bacterial small subunit ribosomal RNA
Source: RNAcentral
UACGUAGGGGGCAAGCGUUGUCCGGAUUUAUUGGGCGUAAAGAGCGUGUAGGCGGCCAGAUAGGUCCGUUGUGAAAACUGGAGGCUUAACCUCCAGCGGUCGAUGGAAACCAUUUGGCUAGAGUCCGGAAGAGGAGAGUGGAAUUCCUGGUGUAGCGGUGAAAUGCGCAGAUAUCGUAAGGAAGACCAGUGGCGAAGGCGGGUCUCUGGACAGUUCCUGACGCUGAGGCACGAAGGCCAGGGGAGCAAACGGG